CGGGCCGUAGCGCAGUUUGGCUAGCGCGCUUCCUUGGGGUGGAAGAGGUCGCGGGUUCAAGUCCCGCCGGCCCGACCA
RNAcentral lists this transfer RNA (78 nucleotides) under Verrucomicrobiia bacterium. RNAcentral describes it as "tRNA-Pro". It matches the Rfam family "tRNA". Rfam says of the family: Transfer RNA (tRNA) molecules are approximately 80 nucleotides in length. The record is from RNAcentral. Lineage: Bacteria; Pseudomonadati; Verrucomicrobiota; Verrucomicrobiia.